This 772-nucleotide long non-coding RNA is filed under the name Eutrema salsugineum. RNAcentral's name for it is "long non-coding RNA (ESAL_LNC001938)". The record is from RNAcentral. Lineage: Eukaryota; Viridiplantae; Streptophyta; Magnoliopsida; Brassicales; Brassicaceae.
UGUAUCACUGUUUUAGGAUAUGUCGAUUGAAUUAGUGCUCUCUUUCUGUUCUUUUUCGUAGUUUUCAAUUACACUUGGGUAUAUGUCUGAUUUUGGUUCAUGUGUGCUUUUAAAUUAUGAGUGAAGGAAUGGUUAUUCUUCUUUCUUUUUUUUCUGCUCUUGAAGCAACCUUCGUCUCCACAUAAUGAUUUUUUUUGUUUGGCUCUUGAAGCAACCUUCCUCUCUUAUCUAACGAGGUUUAUCUCAACUUUUUGUGUUUUGCGGAUUAAGCUAUGAGUUUCUCUAGGUAGUUGCUGUUGUUUUUUUUUUCUUUAUGGUUCGCUGCUAAUAUAUUGAGUAGUUAAUUAGCAGUUUUUCACCUUUUGUUCGUUGUUUAUUGUAGUUUUUAUGUUCAUUUAGUGAUUGAUGGGAGGUUUGUUCAUGGUUAUGCUCUUCUAGGUUGCUUUCUCUGUUUGGAAUAUGCGUCUGGUUUGUCAAAAACUAAUUAAUCACUCCGAUGAUAAAUGAAUCUACACAUAAUUGUUUCGUUGAGUAUCAUACGAAGUGUUCACUCUAGCUACCAAUGCUAAAUGCUCACAAGAAUGUGAAAAAGAUAGUAAUAUGACACAAGACAAAUGUAAAUAACGCUAAUUAAUCAAACAAAUAAAAUAAACUUAAACAUCUUAACAUCAUGAUCAAAUCUAAAACAUCCUUACUUCUGAUAUGAUCGUGACCAGCUCAGAGGAGGAGGAACCAGAGGUAGCUGGCAGGAUCACUCGUUCCAGAGCUAGAG